UACUGUUGGCUAUAGAGCAGGCCGACCUGCUGCAGGAGGAAGCUGAAGCCCCACGGAGUGUCCUGGAGGAGAUUGGCCUGACAUAAACUCCCUCCAUCACUGCCCCAACUAUCUCCCUCUCUUUAUUAUCUCUCUCUCUUCACGGGGGCCCAAACAUCUUGUUCUCGCUCCUUUGAUGUGCUGUAGUGUUGUCUUGUACUAAAACUCUUAUCAUGUUGUUAAUGUUA
This is a long non-coding RNA of Oncorhynchus gorbuscha (pink salmon), 227 nucleotides long. RefSeq lists it as uncharacterized. The transcript has 2 exons. NCBI's taxonomy places the organism in Eukaryota, Metazoa, Chordata, Actinopteri, Salmoniformes, Salmonidae. The record is from RefSeq and is a predicted model, not a curated record.